RNAcentral lists this ribosomal RNA (653 nucleotides) under Pontomyia natans. Its description in RNAcentral is "partial large subunit ribosomal RNA". The record is from RNAcentral. Lineage: Eukaryota; Metazoa; Arthropoda; Insecta; Diptera; Chironomidae.
UGGGCUCAAAACUAAAGAACCCAAAUAUCUAAACGGAGAGAUUCAAUACUGAACUUAACACUCAGUGUGCACUUCUCUCUUAGUAAGACGCCGUGAUCCAUUAGAAAUUGGUAGACGCCAGUCUAUAUGAGGUCAUCAAUGGGCUUGUACGAAGUUUAUUGGAACGAAUGGCAURAUCUUUCAACGGUUGUGUGUAUUGUCUGGUAAGCGUGCGAGUACUCGUAAUGACUGUCUGAUGGAUUUUAAAGAUUGUAUCACUGAUGUUACGGCAUCACUCGCUUCGGCGAGCGUUUGAUAUGUAUCCGAUCAACGGCGGUUAAAUUUGGGAUACCUUUUGGACCCGUCUUGAAACACGGACCAAGGAGUCUAUCUAAUGUGCGAGUAAAUGAGUUGUAAACUUAUUUGCGUAAUAAACGUAACUAUUUAAUGGGAUUACGAGUCACCAUGCUCUUCCAUCCCGGAGUAUUUUCAUCCACAUAUACGCAAGUAUAUGGAAAAUAUAUCAUGAGCAUAUUGGAUACGACCCGAAAGAUGGUGAACUAUGCUUGAUCAGGUCGAAGUCAGGGGAAACCCUGAUGGAGGACCGAAGCAGUUCUGACGUGCAAAUCGAUUGUCAGAAUUGAGCAUAGGGGCGAAAGACCAAUCGAACCAUC